RNAcentral lists this ribosomal RNA (527 nucleotides) under Megophrys feae (Kakhien Hills spadefoot toad). RNAcentral's name for it is "partial 16S ribosomal RNA". It matches the Rfam family "Bacterial large subunit ribosomal RNA", at positions 1857 to 2597 of the family's 2925-position model. Lineage: Eukaryota; Metazoa; Chordata; Amphibia; Anura; Megophryidae. The record is from RNAcentral.
GCCUGCCCAGUGACCAUGUGUUCAACGGCCGCGGUAUUCUGACCGCGCGAAGGUAGCGUAAUCACUUGUUUUUUAAAUAAAGACUAGUAUGAAUGGCCCCACGAGGACUUAACUGUCUCCCUUGUCCAAUCAGUGAAACUGAUCUCCUCGUGCAGAAGCGAGGAUUCUCUCAUAAGACGAGAAGACCCUAUGGAGCUUUAAACUAAAAUCAACUAUUACCCACCUAUCCUCUAAGGGCCUAAUAAAUAGCUAAAUAUGCUUGAUUUAAGUUUUAGGUUGGGGCGACCAUGGAGAAAAAGAAAUCCUCCCUGAUGACCACAAACCAAGAGUCACUACUCUAAGUAUUAAGACGCUUAACUCUAAUUGACCCAUUUUAUGAUCAACGAACCAAGUUACCCUAGGGAUAACAGCGCAAUCCAUUUCAAGAGUCCCUAUCGACAAGUGGGUUUACGACCUCGAUGUUGGAUCAGGGCAUCCAAGUGGUGCAACCGCUACUAAUGGUUCGUUUGUUCAACGAUUAAAGCCCU